UAGGGAAUCUUCGGCAAUGGACGGAAGUCUGACCGAGCAACGCCGCGUGAGUGAAGAAGGUUUUCGGAUCGUAAAGCUCUGUUGUAAGAGAAGAACGAGUGUGAGAGUGGAAAGUUCACACUGUGACGGUAUCUUACCAGAAAGGGACGGCUAACUACGUGCCAGCAGCCGCGGUAAUACGUAGGUCCCGAGCGUUGUCCGGAUUUAUUGAGCGUAAAGCGAGCGCAGGCGGUUAGAUAAGUCUGAAGUUAAAGGCUGUGGCUUAACCAUAGUAGGCUUUGGAAACUGUUUAACUUGAGUGCAAGAGGGGAGAGUGGAAUUCCAUGUGUAGCGGUGAAAUGCGUAGAUAUAUGGAGGAACACCGGUGGCGAAAGCGGCUCUCUGGCUUGUAACUGACGCUGAGGCUCGAAAGCGUGGGGAGCAAACAGGAUUAGAUACCCUGGUAGUCCACGCUGUAAACGAUGAGUGCUAGGUGUUAGACCCUUUCCGGGGUUUAGUGCCGUAGCUAACGCAUUAAGCACUCCGCCUGGGGAGUACGACCGCAAGGUUG
RNAcentral lists this ribosomal RNA (550 nucleotides) under uncultured bacterium. RNAcentral describes it as "bacterial SSU rRNA". It matches the Rfam family "Bacterial small subunit ribosomal RNA", at positions 355 to 896 of the family's 1533-position model. The record is from RNAcentral.